UACGUAGGUGGCGAGCGUUAUCCGGAAUCAUUGGGCGUAAAGAGGGAGCAGGCGGCAGUGCAGGUCUGCGGUGAAAGCCCGAAGCUAAACUUCGGUAAGCCGUGGAAACCGCACAGCUAGAGAGCAUCAGAGGAUCGCGGAAUUCCAUGUGUAGCGGUGAAAUGCGUAGAUAUAUGGAGGAACACCAGUGGCGAAGGCGGCGGUCUGGGGUGCAGCUGACGCUCAGUCCCGAAAGCGUGGGGAGCAAAUAG
Molecule: ribosomal RNA, 251 nt
Filed under: uncultured Coprobacillus sp.
Lineage: Bacteria; Bacillati; Bacillota; Erysipelotrichia; Erysipelotrichales; Coprobacillaceae
Description: partial 16S ribosomal RNA
Rfam family: Bacterial small subunit ribosomal RNA
Source: RNAcentral